This 252-nucleotide ribosomal RNA is filed under the name uncultured bacterium. RNAcentral's name for it is "partial 16S ribosomal RNA". It matches the Rfam family "Archaeal small subunit ribosomal RNA", at positions 474 to 727 of the family's 1478-position model. The record is from RNAcentral.
UACCAGCACCCCGAGUGGUCGGGACGUUUAUUGGGCCUAAAGCAUCCGUAGCCGGUUCUACAAGUCUUCCGUUAAAUCCACCUGCUUAACAGAUGGGCUGCGGAAGAUACUAUAGAGCUAGGAGGCGGGAGAGGCAAGCGGUACUCGAUGGGUAGGGGUAAAAUCCGUUGAUCCAUUGAAGACCCCCAGGGGCGAAGGCGGCUUGCCAGAACGCGCUCGACGGUGAGGGAUGAAAGCUGGGGAGCAAACCGG